Molecule: non-coding RNA, 72 nt
Organism: Podarcis lilfordi (Lilford's wall lizard)
Lineage: Eukaryota; Metazoa; Chordata; Lepidosauria; Squamata; Lacertidae
Source: the annotation of a GenBank genome assembly
GGGGGAAUAGCUCAGUGACAGAGCAUCAGCCUUGCAUGCAGAAGGUUCCAGGUUUAAUUCCUAGCAUCUCCA